RNAcentral lists this ribosomal RNA (232 nucleotides) under uncultured bacterium. Its description in RNAcentral is "partial 16S ribosomal RNA". It matches the Rfam family "Bacterial small subunit ribosomal RNA", at positions 524 to 755 of the family's 1533-position model. The record is from RNAcentral.
UACGGAGGGGGCUAGCGUUGUUCGGAAUUACUGGGCGUAAAGCGCACGUAGGCGGCUUUGUAAGUUAGAGGUGAAAGCCCAGGGCUUAACCCUGGAAUUGCCUUUAAGACUGCAUCGCUAGAAUCGUGGAGAGGUGAGUGGAAUUCCGAGUGUAGAGGUGAAAUUCGUAGAUAUUCGGAAGAACACCAGUGGCGAAGGCGACUCACUGGACACGUAUUGACGCUGAGGUGCG